This is a non-coding RNA of Cinara cedri, 2120 nucleotides long. The record is from the annotation of a GenBank genome assembly. NCBI's taxonomy places the organism in Eukaryota, Metazoa, Arthropoda, Insecta, Hemiptera, Aphididae.
UAAUAUACUACUAUAUAUAUUAAUUUUGCGCUUUACCAUUCACCGGAGUAGAAUAUUUUAUGUUGUAGAUAAAUGAACUUAUAACUAGAGCGCGGUUUUAUGAACUACAACCGAUAUAAAAAUAAUUCACAUAACAUGCUGUAAAAACGAUAUAUGCGGCAAUAUUAUAAUCAAUAGUUAUGUACAAAAAAAAAAAAAAAUUGUAAAAAACGUACGAUAUUAUUGUUACCUAUUUUAUCAGUAGUUAUUAUUCGUAUGUUAUUAAAAUUAAUAAUUAAACGAUAUUCAAAUAUUUCCUCGGUAACACUGUGGCGUGUCUGUCUGUCAAUACGUGUUCGUAGAUUGAAAACGAUCGUUUGAUAUCAACGUUAAAGAAGAAUUCGGAACAUAUUUGAAAGAAAUCAAUAUCGCAUUGGGUCUUUGUAGAUUUCAUCCAGUUGAACCUCUGCUUAAUAAUACUACAUAUAUUAAUGUUAAGUAAGUGACAUUAUUUUUUCGCAGUGGCGCAUAAUUUUCAUUGAAAUACCAUGCAAUAAAUAUUUGAAAUUAUUGUAAAAUAUGUAUAAAUAUACAAAAUUAAUAUGUUCAUACUACUUCUGGAAAAUAUAGUACAGUGAGAAUAUGUGUAGACAAUAUAUACAUAAUAUGGAAUGAACAUGUUGUAAUAAUAUUGUAAUUUUUUUUGCCGCGUACACAUGUACAAUAUAAGAGUAUAUAAUAUACGUGCAUGAGUGCGUAUGAAACAAGUUGCAUACAUGUGUGUAAUUCGAAUUACAUAUAAAAUUAAAGUUUGAUUAUAAUUCGAACAUAUUUACACGUUUCUAAAAACGUUAUUUUAACACGAUUAUCACAUUUUUUCGUUUUGUAAAUAUAAUUUCUAAGAUUAUAGUAUACAAUUCGUAAAGAUUGUUAGCGAAAAUCUAAAAAUACGAAAAGGAAAUAAAUAUAUAAAUGCUUUUGUUCCAUAGAUUGUAUAAUGUGUACAAAGGCUAGCUAAAAUAAAAAAUAAUCCAACAUUAAAACUGUAUAUUUUUAACGAGUAUUUUAUUAAUUAAUCUUCCCUGACAUAAACAUUGACAUAUUAUAUUAUAUUAACCAGCUGUCCCGGCAAUACUUUGCUAUUGCCAGAUUAUAAACAAUAUUUAGUAGAUACCAUAGAUAACACAUAAUCAACAAAAUUAAUAAUAAUAUUUACUUUGUUACCAAUCAACAAAAAUUUUACCACAAAAUACCAGAAUUCCUGAGUCAGCUAUCCUUCAGGGGUUAAAUUUUAGCAAUUUCAACAGUUAUAAACCUUCUCAGGACCAUGCACAACAUUUUGCGAAAAACCUCGUUACAAAACCCCGUAGUUUUUGAGUCUAUAAAGGACCUACAGACAGACAUUCACUUUUAUAUAUAUAGAUAGAUUAUAAUUAUUAAUUUAGUUAUAUUAUUCUAAGGAUAAGGAGAAAAAAAACGUUUUUUUUUAAAAUUAAAGUGGUUCGAAUAGGUUCCGGUUAUUAUAAAGGAAAUUUACUUAUAGUUAAGGUUUUUUUUUUUUUUAUUAUUAUUAACUUGGUACCUACCAAUAAAUUUUUGAUUUGUCUAUAAACUAAAAAGUAAAGAAAUUCAAAUUCGAAAAAUGAAUAUUCGUAUAAAUAAUAUAUACUAAAAAAAUUGAUGGGGGAAGAGGGUGGAAAUAUAUCUCCCUGAUCUCCCCCCUUAAAUACGCCACUGUUAUAUACGGAUAAUAUCGUGAUAAAUACUCAUGCCCGUUCUUUCUCGCAAAAUCCUGUCGGUACUCUUGGUUAGCGCUAGCCAACACUUUGCGGGACAUCGUAAGAGCCGGGUUUCAUAUUAAAGUGCCCAUUUCUCUGCAGGUUAUAUAUUUUGCAAUGCCUAUAAUAAAAUAUACCCGAUACGAACCCGUUAUAAUAUCUCAUCUAUGUGCGUACUUGCGCUAUUACAGCGCUCGUCAGUCGUCAUUAUUUCAUUACGAUUGCCUACGGUUUAGAUAAAAUAAAUUUACGAGAAAUAUUAUACGUAUAGUAUACCUAAUAUUAUGUGAUUUACAACCGUAUAAUCACGCCACAAUUAAAUAAAAAAAAUGAAUAAACAAACACGCACUUCGAAAAAAACCA